GCCAGCAUGGCACAAUGGUUUGAAUGUUGGACUACAACUCUGGUGACCAGGGUUCGAUUCCCAACUUGGCC
Molecule: transfer RNA, 71 nt
Filed under: Phrynosoma platyrhinos (Desert horned lizard)
Lineage: Eukaryota; Metazoa; Chordata; Lepidosauria; Squamata; Phrynosomatidae
Description: tRNA-OTHER
Source: RNAcentral